GACGAACGCUGGCGGCGUGCUUAACACAUGCAAGUCGAACGAUGAAGCCGGAGCUUGCUCCGGUGGAUUAGUGGCGAACGGGUGAGUAACACGUGAGCAAUCUGCCCUUGACUCUGGGAUAACUGCGGGAAACUGUAGCUAAUACCGGAUACGACACCUUGGGGCAUCCCAGGGUGUGGAAAGAAUUUGGGUCAAGGAUGAGUUCGCGGCCUAUCAGCUAGUUGGUGAGGUAAUGGCUCACCAAGGCGACGACGGGUAGCCGGCAUGAGAGGGUGACCGGCCACACUGGAACUGAGACACGGUCCAGACUCCUACGGGAGGCAGCAGUGGGGAAUAUUGCACAAUGGGCGAAAGCCUGAUGCAGCAACGCCGCGUGAGGGAUGAAGGCCUUCGGGUUGUAAACCUCUUUUAGCAGGGAAGAAGCGAAAGUGACGGUACCUGCAGAAAAAGCACCGGCUAACUACGUGCCAGCAGCCGCCGCCG
RNAcentral lists this ribosomal RNA (483 nucleotides) under uncultured bacterium. RNAcentral describes it as "partial 16S ribosomal RNA". It matches the Rfam family "Bacterial small subunit ribosomal RNA", at positions 28 to 523 of the family's 1533-position model. The record is from RNAcentral.